This is a small nucleolar RNA of Ochotona curzoniae (black-lipped pika), 103 nucleotides long. RefSeq annotates it as small nucleolar RNA U13. NCBI's taxonomy places the organism in Eukaryota, Metazoa, Chordata, Mammalia, Lagomorpha, Ochotonidae. The record is from RefSeq and is a predicted model, not a curated record. The transcript has a single exon.
AUCCUUUUGUGGUUCAUAACAUGAUGACUGGACUUACACAUGUCUGUGUGACAUGUGCCUCCCUCCAACCUUGUUACAACACUGGCAUCUUACCUGUCUGACA